GUAACGGAGGCGCGCGAAGGUUGGCUCAGAGCGGUCGGAAAUCGCUCGUUGAGUGCAAUGGCAGAAGCCAGCCUGACUGCGAGACUGACAAGUCGAGCAGAGUCGAAAGACGGCCAUAGUGAUCCGGUGGUCCCGAGUGGAAGGGCCAUCGCUCAACGGAUAAAAGGUACGCCGGGGAUAACAGGCUGAUACUGCCCAAGAGUCCAUAUCGACGGCAGUGUUUGGCACCUCGAUGUCGGCUCAUCUCAUCCUGGGGCUGGAGCAGGUCCCAAGGGUAUGGCUGUUCGCCAUUUAAAGAGGUACGUGAGCUGGGUUUAGAACGUCGUGAGACAGUUCGGUCCCUAUCUUCCGUGGGUGUAGGAUACUUGAGAGGAGUUGCCCCUAGUACGAGAGGACCGGGGUGAACGAUCCACUGGUGGACCUGUUGUUGCGCCAGCAGCAGUGCAGGGUAGCUAUGAUCGGACAGGAUAACCGCUGAAGGCAUCUAAGCGGGAAGCCCCCCUCAAAACAAGGUAUCCCUGAGGACCGAGGUAGACUACCUCGUCGAUAGGCCGGAGAUGUAAGCGCUGCAAGGCGUUCAGUUGACCGGUACUAAUUGUCCGAUAGGCUUGAUUUG
This 616-nucleotide ribosomal RNA is filed under the name Salibaculum sp. RNAcentral describes it as "partial 23S ribosomal RNA". It matches the Rfam family "Bacterial large subunit ribosomal RNA", at positions 2297 to 2925 of the family's 2925-position model. Lineage: Bacteria; Pseudomonadati; Pseudomonadota; Alphaproteobacteria; Rhodobacterales; Roseobacteraceae. The record is from RNAcentral.